GGUGGAUUAGUGGCGAACGGGUGAGUAACACGUGGGCAAUCUGCCCUUCACUCUGGGACAAGCCCUGGAAACGGGGUCUAAUACCGGAUAACACUCUGUCCCGCAUGGGACGGGGUUAAAAGCUCCGGCGGUGAAGGAUGAGCCCGCGGCCUAUCAGCUUGUUGGUGGGGUAAUGGCCUACCAAGGCGACGACGGGUAGCCGGCCUGAGAGGGCGACCGGCCACACUGGGACUGAGACACGGCCCAGACUCCUACGGGAGGCAGCAGUGGGGAAUAUUGCACAAUGGGCGAAAGCCUGAUGCAGCGACGCCGCGUGAGGGAUGACGGCCUUCGGGUUGUAAACCUCUUUCAGCAGGGAAGAAGCGAAAGUGACGGUACCUGCAGAAGAAGCGCCGGCUAACUACGUGCCAGCAGCCGCGGUAAUACGUAGGGCGCAAGCGUUGUCCGGAAUUAUUGGGCGUAAAGAGCUCGUAGGCGGCUUGUCACGUCGGAUGUGAAAGCCCGGGGCUUAACCCCGGGUCUGCAUUCGAUACGGGCUAGCUAGAGUGUGGUAGGGGAGAUCGGAAUUCCUGGUGUAGCGGUGAAAUGCGCAGAUAUCAGGAGGAACACCGGUGGCGAAGGCGGAUCUCUGGGCCAUUACUGACGCUGAGGAGCGAAAGCGUGGGGAGCGAACAGGAUUAGAUACCCUGGUAGUCCACGCCGUAAACGUUGGGAACUAGGUGUUGGCGACAUUCCACGUCGUCGGUGCCGCAGCUAACGCAUUAAGUUCCCCGCCUGGGGAGUACGGCCGCAAGGCUAAAACUCAAAGGAAUUGACGGGGCCCGCACAAGCAGCGGAGCAUGUGGCUUAAUUCGACGCAACGCGAAGAACCUUACCAAGGCUUGACAUAUACCGGAAAGCAUCAGAGAUGGUGCCCCCCUUGUGGUCGGUAUACAGGUGGUGCAUGGCUGUCGUCAGCUCGUGUCGUGAG
Molecule: ribosomal RNA, 970 nt
Filed under: Streptomyces sp.
Lineage: Bacteria; Bacillati; Actinomycetota; Actinomycetes; Kitasatosporales; Streptomycetaceae
Description: bacterial SSU rRNA
Rfam family: Bacterial small subunit ribosomal RNA
Source: RNAcentral